RNAcentral lists this unclassified non-coding RNA (147 nucleotides) under uncultured fungus. RNAcentral's name for it is "sequence contains ITS1". The record is from RNAcentral. Lineage: Eukaryota; Fungi.
GUCUUUAUUAUUGUCUCAACUAACUCUGUCAAACAAACAAGCGUAAACAUCAAGGCCUUGCGACCUUGUGCUAAUGUUGAGAGGCUACGCAAGCGCAGCACUCGCAAAAGAUUUGUAAUGAUCCUUCCGCAGGUUCACCUACGGAAA